CCUCCAUUGGUUGUCUUGUCAACUCUGCACUUUGCCCUCCCUCUCAGAGCAGUGCCCUAGGCUCGAUUGGGACCAAGCCCUCAAGCUCAAUGAUGGAGGCCGAUGAAUGCCCAGUGCCAUGAUCGUAGGGGCAUCAUGCUCGUUGAUUGCCACUGAUGCCACCUUAGUGACGUGGUUCUCCUCCUUCCACUAGCCACUGCACCCAUCUCAGUGCUCUGCCCUCCCUCUCGAAGUAGCCACUAGCCACUGCACUCAACUCCGUGCUCUUGCCUUUCUUGAGC
Molecule: long non-coding RNA, 281 nt
Filed under: Elaeis guineensis (African oil palm)
Lineage: Eukaryota; Viridiplantae; Streptophyta; Magnoliopsida; Arecales; Arecaceae
Description: long non-coding RNA (EGUI_LNC064910)
Source: RNAcentral